AUUGAACGCUGGCGGCAGGCCUAACACAUGCAAGUCGAGCGAGCGGCGGACGCGGGAGUAUUGUGUGUGGGUCUGCGCGCUAUGGAGGGGUAACUCCUGGAGACGGUAGCUCAUACCGCGUACUCUCGGGUGAACCCCUAUGGGAUUAGCUCGGAGGUGGGGUAAUGGCGCACCUCGGCGACGAUCCCUAGCUGGUCUGAGAGGAUGAUCAGCCACACUGGGACUGAGACACGGUCCAGACUCCUACGGGAGGCAGCAGUGGGGAAUAUUGCACAAUGGGCGCAAGCCUGAUGCAGCCAUGCCGCGUGUAUGAAGAAGGCCAUAGGGUUGUAAAGUACUUUCAGCGGGGAGGCGUUACCGACAGAAGAAGCACCGGCUAACUCCGUGCCAGCAGCCGCGGUAAUUC
This 406-nucleotide ribosomal RNA is filed under the name uncultured bacterium. Its description in RNAcentral is "partial 16S ribosomal RNA". It matches the Rfam family "Bacterial small subunit ribosomal RNA", at positions 30 to 526 of the family's 1533-position model. The record is from RNAcentral.